GACUCUCGACAACGGAUAUCUUGGCUCUCGCAUCGAUGAAGAACGUAGCGAAAUGCGAUAUGUGUUGUGAAUUGUAGAAUCCCGUGAACCAUCCAUUCUUUGAACGCAAGUUGCGCCCGAGGAUGCAAGCCGAGGGCACGCCUGCAUGGGUGCAAUGCGAUACGUCGCUCCUUGCA
RNAcentral lists this ribosomal RNA (176 nucleotides) under Vanilla dietschiana. Its description in RNAcentral is "partial 5.8S ribosomal RNA". The stretch from base 1 to 155 matches the Rfam family "5.8S ribosomal RNA". Rfam says of the family: 5.8S ribosomal RNA (5.8S rRNA) is a component of the large subunit of the eukaryotic ribosome. Lineage: Eukaryota; Viridiplantae; Streptophyta; Magnoliopsida; Asparagales; Orchidaceae. The record is from RNAcentral.